UACAUGGGGUGCAAACGUUGCUCGGAAUCAUUGGGCGUAAAGCGCGCGUAGGCGGUUACUUAAGUUGGAUGUGAAAGCCCUCGGCUUAACUGAGGAAGUGCAUCCAAAACUGAGUAGCUAGAGUACGAAAGAGGGUCGCGGAAUUCCCGGUGUAGAGGUGAAAUUCGUAGAUAUCGGGAGGAACACCGGAGGCGAAGGCGGCGACCUGGGUCGAGACUGACGCUGAGGAGCGAAAGCAUGGGGAGCGAACAGG
Molecule: ribosomal RNA, 253 nt
Filed under: uncultured bacterium
Lineage: Bacteria
Description: partial 16S ribosomal RNA
Rfam family: Bacterial small subunit ribosomal RNA
Source: RNAcentral